RNAcentral lists this ribosomal RNA (460 nucleotides) under uncultured bacterium. RNAcentral describes it as "partial 16S ribosomal RNA". It matches the Rfam family "Bacterial small subunit ribosomal RNA", at positions 338 to 795 of the family's 1533-position model. The record is from RNAcentral.
CCUACGGGAGGCAGCAGUGAGGAAUAUUGGUCAAUGGACGAGAGUCUGAACCAGCCAAGUAGCGUGAAGGAUGACUGCCCUAUGGGUUGUAAACUUCUUUUAUAUGGGAAUAAAAUGUUCCACGUGUGGGAUUUUGUAUGUACUAUAUGAAUAAGGAUCGGCUAACUCCGUGCCAGCAGCCGCGGUAAUAUGGAGGAUCCGAGCGUUAUCCGGAUUUAUUGGGUUUAAAGGGAGCGUAGGUGGAUUGUUAAGUCAGUUGUGAAAGUUUGCGGCUCAACCGUAAAAUUGCAGUUGAAACUGGCAGUCGUGAGUACAGUAGAGGUGGGCGGAAUUCGUGGUGUAGCGGUGAAAUGCUUAGAUAUCACGAAGAACUCCGAUUGCGAAGGCAGCUCACUGGACUGCAACUGACACUGAGGCUCGAAAGUGUGGGUAUCAAACAGGAUUAGAUACCCCGGUAGUC